Molecule: ribosomal RNA, 1038 nt
Filed under: Triticum aestivum (bread wheat)
Lineage: Eukaryota; Viridiplantae; Streptophyta; Magnoliopsida; Poales; Poaceae
Description: partial small subunit ribosomal RNA
Source: RNAcentral
AUGCCGUCCAUUGACAAGGCCACCGACAACGGCGAGAUGAAGAAGCGGCAGCCGGAGCAGGAGCUGGUCUGCGUCACGGGCGCCGGAGGCUUCAUCGGCUCCUGGGUCGUGAAGGAGCUCCUCCUCCGCGGCUACCGCGUCAGGGGAACCGCCAGGGACCCCGCUGACCGCAAGAACGCGCACUUGCUGGCUCUGGAGGGCGCCGAGGAGAGGCUCACCUUGUGCCGCGCCGACGUCCUCGACUACGACGGCCUCCGCGCCGCCUUCCAUGGCUGCCACGGCGUCUUCCACGUCGCGUCCCCUGUCUCCAAUGACCCCGACCUUGUACCGGUCGCCGUCGAGGGAACUAAGAACGUGAUCAGAGCGGCGGGGGACGCCGGCGUGCGGCGUGUGGUGUUCACGUCGUCCUACGGCGCCGUGCACAUGGACCCCAACCGCAGCCCCGACGCCGUGCUCAACGAGACUUGCUGGAGCGACUACGAGUACUGCAAAAACACAGGCAACUUGUACUGUUGUGCGAAAAUGAUGGCUGAGAUCACGGCGACGGAGGAGGCCGCCAAGAGGGGUCUGGAGCUGGCGGUGGUGGUGCCGUCCAUGACCAUGGGCCCCAUGCUACAGCAGUCGCUCAACUUCAGCAGCAGCCACGUGGCCCGCUACCUCACCGGCGUCAAGCCCACCUACCCCAAUGCGGUCGCCGCCUACACCGACGUCCGUGAUGUCGCCCGCGCGCACGUCCUCGUCUACGAGCACCCUGAUGCCCGCGGCCGGUACCUCUGCAUCGGGGCCGUGCUGCACCGCGCGCACUUCCUUCAGCUCCUCGGCGACCUCUUUCCUCAGUACAACAUAACCGCCAAGUGCGAAGACGAUGGCAAGCCCAUGGCGAAGCCGUACAAGUUCUCGAACCAAAGGCUCAGGGACCUGGGGUUGGAGUUCACUCCGUUGAAACAAAGCUUGUACGAGACAGUGAUGUGCUUGCAGAAAAAGGGUCAUCUGCCUCUCCCCAUUGUUCCCAUAGCACAGAAGCGCGCGUACUUAUAA